This 550-nucleotide small RNA is filed under the name Pan troglodytes (chimpanzee). RNAcentral describes it as "retained intron". The record is from RNAcentral. Lineage: Eukaryota; Metazoa; Chordata; Mammalia; Primates; Hominidae.
UUAUAAAACCAGUAAUAGUGGAUGGAGCAGCUCUGGGUGGAGAGAGGUUAGGGGCUCAGGACACUUCUCUCUCUGAAACUGUGUUUCAGGCCUUUUCAUGGAACCCUCAAAGCAUAGCACAUGGAACCAGAGCAUUGAAGGCCACUGGCAUAAUUGCAUUUGAUACGAUCAGUGCCAGCAGAUUUGCUGUGUGACUUGGGCCUAUCACCAAACCUCUCCGGGCCUCUUCUGUCCCCUGGAGCUUCUGCCACCAGCCAUUGAUCCCUCUGUCACCCUUCUGUCCCUUGGCCCUCUCUCUUGCCAGGCUGGCUUUGGAACGGAGCAGCUCUGCCCAGGAGGCCUUGCAUGUGAUCACAGGGUUACUGGAGCACUAUGGGCAGGGGGGCGGCUGCCUGGAGGAUGCUGCGCCAUUCUCCUACCAUAGCACCUUCCUGCUGGCUGACCGCACUGAGGCGUGGGUGCUGGAGACAGCUGGGAGGCUCUGGGCUGCACAGAGGAUCCAGGAGGGGGCCCGCAACAUCUCCAACCAGCUGAGCAUUGGCACGGACAU